Molecule: ribosomal RNA, 694 nt
Filed under: uncultured Delftia sp.
Lineage: Bacteria; Pseudomonadati; Pseudomonadota; Betaproteobacteria; Burkholderiales; Comamonadaceae
Description: bacterial SSU rRNA
Rfam family: Bacterial small subunit ribosomal RNA
Source: RNAcentral
ACGGUAACAGGUCUUCGGACGCUGACGAGUGGCGAACGGGUGAGUAAUACAUCGGAACGUGCCCAGUCGUGGGGGAUAACUACUCGAAAGAGUAGCUAAUACCGCAUACGAUCUGAGGAUGAAAGCGGGGGACCUUCGGGCCUCGCGCGAUUGGAGCGGCCGAUGGCAGAUUAGGUAGUUGGUGGGAUAAAAGCUUACCAAGCCGACGAUCUGUAGCUGGUCUGAGAGGACGACCAGCCACACUGGGACUGAGACACGGCCCAGACUCCUACGGGAGGCAGCAGUGGGGAAUUUUGGACAAUGGGCGAAAGCCUGAUCCAGCAAUGCCGCGUGCAGGAUGAAGGCCUUCGGGUUGUAAACUGCUUUUGUACGGAACGAAAAAGCUUCUCCUAAUACGAGAGGCCCAUGACGGUACCGUAAGAAUAAGCACCGGCUAACUACGUGCCAGCAGCCGCGGUAAUACGUAGGGUGCGAGCGUUAAUCGGAAUUACUGGGCGUAAAGCGUGCGCAGGCGGUUAUGUAAGACAGAUGUGAAAUCCCCGGGCUCAACCUGGGAACUGCAUUUGUGACUGCAUGGCUAGAGUACGGUAGAGGGGGAUGGAAUUCCGCGUGUAGCAGUGAAAUGCGUAGAUAUGCGGAGGAACACCGAUGGCGAAGGCAAUCCCCUGGACCUGUACUGACGCUCAUGCACGAA